Long non-coding RNA from Silurus meridionalis, 551 nucleotides. RefSeq lists it as uncharacterized. The transcript is spliced from 3 exons. The record is from RefSeq and is a predicted model, not a curated record. NCBI's taxonomy places the organism in Eukaryota, Metazoa, Chordata, Actinopteri, Siluriformes, Siluridae.
CUUUAUGCUUGACCGCUUUUCAUCAAGAUACAUGCAAGUGGGUACAAAAUCUGCAUUUCUGAAACUUUUCAAAAGUAGCAGCUGUCGAAGCCAAUGUCAGAAGGGGAACUGUAGGACAUGCUGUCACAGUGACAGUAACACACACAGUGUUUUCUGUGCCAUAAAAAUAAAAGCACCUGUAUACAUAACUAAGAUGAGUGUGUCCAAAAAUUUGGAAGAAGUUUUCCGUCUGAUGACUCUUCAUUGGGGGUCAUGUUUGUGCAAGCAACACUGUGCACUACCAGUGCACCGCCACUCCUGUGUCAGCUAAAUCUACCUGCAGGUCUGUCCAUUAAUCUCAAAUAGUGGUUUUGCUUUGCUUUGCAAUUCCAUUUGACAGUUUUCUGUCCUCAGAUCUUGUCUUAACUUCCACAGUUCCCUUUAAUGUUAUCUUUUUAUUGACAAUGGAAAUUAUGAGCUGGCAGAACUUUCUAUUUAUAGCUUUUCUCUGUUUUGUAGGCAUCAGUUAGCUUUGUUUAUUAUUAGCUAUAUCAAUAAUCAGCUGCUCAGGA